GCUCUAAAAGACCAUAAAAUAAAACAAAUUCAUUUCAAAAAACAUGUUAAAAGUAUUAUUUUUUAUUAUAUUCGCUUUGAUUCCAUUGCCUAUUAACUGCGGACAGAGGGAUUUGAAAUGUGUCGACUGCCGGAAGUACGAGAAGGAUAAGUGCAUAAUCUCAAAAACCGGUUAUGAGUGCUUAGUUUCGGGGAACCUUCGGGCAUCCUAUGGCGGUGGAUGGUUUACGAAAUAUAUUGUUAGCAUUACCACCGACUUGAGUGUAUGCAUUCCAAAAGGCUUGGAAAUACCAGUAGAGGAUAUUGACCAAUGCUGCUUUUGGUCACCUGAGCUUGGAUGCCAAGCGAUAUACGAUCCGGAUAAAGAGGAUAUUGGUUGCGCCGAUUGUAGAAUAGAUGCAUGUCCGUGUGAAUCUGGAAGCACCUACACCAGUGAUUUUUCGAUGGUUUUGUACAUAUUUCUACCGCUCUUGACAAAAAUCUGUGAACUGAUAAGUUGUUGAUUGUGCCCCAAUCGUAAGCCCAUUGGCCGAGGCCAGUAGCAAUGACACGAGUGAUAACGCGAGUAAUAGUGCGAGUGAUUUCUCGAUAAGGUAUAACAACACCGUAUGCUUAGACUGUAGGGAGGAGAAUAAGGGUUGUAAUAUUUCCGAUACCGGAUACGUGUGCAAACUAUCGUCCACAUUUGAUUCUGAAAAUGUUGGUUCAACUACGUUAUCUGAUACUCCGAUAAGUCGCGACUUGGAUGUAUGCCUUCCAGAGGGUUUGGACAUAAAAGAAGAACAUAUCGGUAAUUGCUGCGUUUGGUCACCGAAAAUUGGAUGUCAAAUAUUACAAAGAGAGCGCGAACCCUAUGAAGACUGUUUCUCCUGUUAUCUGAAAUGUCCUUGCGAUUUGAGUGGAUUAUUUUCGCUGGCCACAAUUGUAAGAUCACAUUUAAUAUUGCAGAUAACUACCAGUAUUUUAUGGUUAUCUCAUUGAGGGCCACGAAUCUAAAUUUUAAUUGUUAAGUAAAUUAAACUUUUUUAAAGCAAAUAAAAUAUUUUAAAAAGUUAA
Molecule: RNA transcript, 1055 nt
Organism: Drosophila subpulchrella
Lineage: Eukaryota; Metazoa; Arthropoda; Insecta; Diptera; Drosophilidae
Exons: 4
Source: RefSeq, a predicted model, not a curated record